GCCCCGGUAGCUCAGCUGGUAGAGCACGUCAUUCGUAAUGAUGGGGUCGGCGGUUCGAUUCCGUCUCGGGGCACCA
This 76-nucleotide transfer RNA is filed under the name Reyranella sp. RNAcentral's name for it is "tRNA-Thr". It matches the Rfam family "tRNA". From Rfam's summary of the family: Transfer RNA (tRNA) molecules are approximately 80 nucleotides in length. The record is from RNAcentral. Lineage: Bacteria; Pseudomonadati; Pseudomonadota; Alphaproteobacteria; Hyphomicrobiales; Reyranellaceae.